GAAACGCACGCACACACAGACACACACACUUACUCAAACGCACGCACGCACACACACACACACACACACACACACACACACACACACACACACACUCUCUCACUCAAACACACACAAGCACACACACACACUCACUCACUCACUCAAACACACACACACACACACACACUCAGUUUUCCUGAGGUUCAGGUCUGACAGUGUGGAUCCAGCAGCUCCAGGUUUUGCUGUAGAUCCUGUUCAUUGCUCGGGUCGAUCUGUAGUUUAUUUCAUAAAGAGAGACUGGCUGAAGCCCUACAGCAGCAAGAUGAAGGUCGUGGGUUUGUCCUUGAGUAAGCAGAGAGAAACCUCACAGAACCAGUCAGCCGCUGCAUUUCUGCUCCAUUUCUCCAUCUGUUUAAGGCGGCUACACACGAGCGUCAGUGGGGACCGACGGAGACAAACGGUCCACAGCCACCUCAGACUCAGAAACACGUCUUUGUGCUCACGUCUAUUGUGUCAUGCUGAAAUAGAAACAAAUCCUCCACAAACAUUGAAUACAGCUGAGUGAUUCUCUUUUUUUAGAGUACUUUUCUUAACAAACGUAGAUAACUGUAUUCCACUCUCACUGUAUUCUCCGUGAGUAAGUCACAGCAGGUCAGAAUUGCAUUGCUCAGAGAAAAAACAAACACAAAGUUAAGUUGGAUCAGUGUAUAAGUCAUAUUUUAUUAUUACAUUCAUUCAGAAGUCAUGUAAAAUAUCGAUAAAUAAUAUAACCCAUUUACAAACAUUAUAAACACUAUAAAAAUGUGUUUUAGUUCCUGUCACGCCACUACAAAUCUUUUACUUUUAACGGUAUUCAGAACAGAUCAGGAAUGAAACAUAUAAGUAUAGAACAAACAUAAAUUAUAGUGCAUUCACUAUAAAUAACAUUUAUUAUGAGUGCCAGGCCUAAACAAAUGCAUUUAAAGUAAAUCUGAAACUACCACAUGUAGGAAAUCUUUACAAAUAAACCCAAACUCACAUACAGUACCUCUGUCCCUCUGUGCUUUCGACGCUUAGUGCAUUAUAUAAGUCACUUUGGAACAUAAGUCGCAGCAUGUUGCAGAUGAUAAAAAACAUGACUUUUAUGGUAAAUGUGGUAAUUGUGAUUGUGAG
RNAcentral lists this long non-coding RNA (1134 nucleotides) under Sinocyclocheilus grahami. RNAcentral's name for it is "lncRNA (ENSSGRG00000029759.1)". The record is from RNAcentral. Lineage: Eukaryota; Metazoa; Chordata; Actinopteri; Cypriniformes; Cyprinidae.